CACAUUGAAACACUGGUUCUCAUACAAUCACUGAAGUUAAGCAAUGUCGAGCAAGGUCAGUACCUAGAUGGGUGACCGAUUGGGAAUAAUAGGUGCU
Non-coding RNA from Acanthosepion pharaonis, 97 nucleotides. Lineage: Eukaryota; Metazoa; Mollusca; Cephalopoda; Sepiida; Sepiidae. The record is from the annotation of a GenBank genome assembly.